Molecule: long non-coding RNA, 470 nt
Filed under: Phasianus colchicus (ring-necked pheasant)
Lineage: Eukaryota; Metazoa; Chordata; Aves; Galliformes; Phasianidae
Description: lncRNA (ENSPCLG00000018933.1)
Source: RNAcentral
UGGGGGGCAGCCGUCCAAUGCCUGCUCGAACAGAUCCCUGGCCCUCUCCAGCUUCCUGCCGCCGUAACGCGCCACGAACUUGCUCAGGUAGGUGUGCCACACGUCCGCCACGUUGGGCCACCGGAACAGCGCCACGCCGCGCUCGUACGCCUGCACCGCCACGGGCACCAUGGGCACCGGGGGCACCGGGGGCACCGGGGGCACCGGGGGGCGCCAGUGGGGCACCGUUGGGGCACCAUUGGGGCACUAUUGGGGCACUUUGUGGCAGCACUGGGGCACCUUUGGGUCACUUUGUGGCACCAUUGGGUCACUUUGUGGCACCACUGGGUCAUUUUGUGGCAGCACUGGGGCACCAUUGGGUCACUAUUGGGUCACUUUGUGGCACCACUGGGGCACCACUGGGGCACGAUUGGGUCGCAUUGGGGCACUAUUGGGUCGCUUUGUGGCACCACUGGGGCACCAUUGGGGCA